This 863-nucleotide ribosomal RNA is filed under the name uncultured Alphaproteobacteria bacterium. RNAcentral describes it as "bacterial SSU rRNA". It matches the Rfam family "Bacterial small subunit ribosomal RNA", at positions 379 to 1260 of the family's 1533-position model. The record is from RNAcentral. Lineage: Bacteria; Pseudomonadati; Pseudomonadota; Alphaproteobacteria.
AACUCUGAUGCAGCGAUGCCGCGUGAGUGAAGAAGGCCCUUGGGUUGUAAAGCUCUUUCGUCGGGGAAGAAAAUGACUGUACCCGAAUAAGAAGGUCCGGCUAACUUCGUGCCAGCAGCCGCGGUAAUACGAAGGGACCUAGCGUAGUUCGGAAUUACUGGGCUUAAAGAGUUCGUAGGUGGUUGAAAAAGUUGGUGGUGAAAUCCCAGAGCUUAACUCUGGAACUGCCAUCAAAACUUUUCAGCUAGAGUUUGAUAGAGGAAAGCAGAAUUUCUAGUGUAGAGGUGAAAUUCGUAGAUAUUAGAAAGAAUACCAAUUGCGAAGGCAGCUUUCUGGAUCAUUACUGACACUGAGGAACGAAAGCAUGGGUAGCGAAGAGGAUUAGAUACCCUCGUAGUCCAUGCCGUAAACGAUGUGUGUUAGACGUUGGAAAUUUAUUUUCAGUGUCGCAGCGAAAGCGAUAAACACACCGCCUGGGGAGUACGACCGCAAGGUUAAAACUCAAAUGAAUUGACGGGGACCCGCACAAGUAGUGGAGCAUGUGGUUUAAUUCGAAGAUACGCGCAGAACCUUACCAACACUUGACAUGUUCGUCGCGACUCUAAGAGAUUAGAGUUUUCGGUUCGGCCGGACGAAACACAGGUGCUGCAUGGCUGUCGUCAGCUCGUGUCGUGAGAUGUUGGGUUAAGUCCCGCAACGAGCGCAACCCUCACUUUUAGUUGCCAUCAUUAAGUUGGGCACUCUGAAAGAACUGCCAGUGAUAAGCUGGAGGAAGGUGGGGAUGACGUCAAGUCCUCAUGGCCCUUACGUGUUGGGCUACACACGUGCUACAAUGGUAUCUACAACAGGAAGCAAGACUGCGA